This 235-nucleotide ribosomal RNA is filed under the name uncultured bacterium. Its description in RNAcentral is "partial 16S ribosomal RNA". It matches the Rfam family "Bacterial small subunit ribosomal RNA", at positions 30 to 263 of the family's 1533-position model. The record is from RNAcentral.
AUUGAACGCUGGCGGCAUGCCUUACACAUGCAAGUCGAACGGUAACGCGGGGGCGAACCCUGCGACGAGUGGCGAACGGGUGAGUAAUACAUCGGAACGUACCCAGUAGUGGGGGAGUANCUCGGCGAAAGCCGGAUUAAUACCGCAUACGACCUAUGGGUGAAAGCGGGGGAGUCNCAAGACCUCGCGCUAUUGGAGCGGCCGAUGUCGGAUUAGCUAGUUGGUGAGGUAAAGG